This 507-nucleotide ribosomal RNA is filed under the name uncultured Glomeraceae. Its description in RNAcentral is "SSU rRNA". It matches the Rfam family "Eukaryotic small subunit ribosomal RNA", at positions 569 to 1082 of the family's 1831-position model. Lineage: Eukaryota; Fungi; Glomeromycota; Glomeromycetes; Glomerales; Glomeraceae. The record is from RNAcentral.
AGCAGCCGCGGUAAUUCCAGCUCCAAUAGCGUAUAUUAAAGUUGUUGCAGUUAAAAAGCUCGUAGUUGAAUUUCGGGAUCAAAUUGUCGGUCGUGCCUCGGUACGCACUGGCAUUAUUGGUUCCUACCUUCUGAAGAACCGCGAUGUCAUUAAUUUGGUGUCGUGGGGAAUCAGGACUGUUACUUUGAAAAAUUAGAGUGUUUAAAGCAGGCGCACGCUUGAAUACAUUAGCAUGGAAUAAUGAAAUAGGACGUUUGAUUCUAUUUUGUUGGUUUCUAGGAUCGACGUAAUGAUUAAUAGGGAUAGUUGGGGGCAUUAGUAUUCAAUUGUCAGAGGUGAAAUUCUUGGAUUUAUUGAAGACUAACUACUGCGAAAGCAUUUGCCAAGGAUGUUUUCAUUAAUCAAGAACGAAAGUUAGGGGAUCGAAGACGAUCAGAUACCGUCGUAGUCUUAACCAUAAACUAUGCCGACUAGGGAUCGGAUGAUGUUAAUUUUUUAAUGUACUCA